UAGAGUGUGCUGUUUCCUAUCAAUGUAAACCACCCUUCUGACAGCUUUUAAGGGCAAUGACAAAUCUUUCUUCACCAACUUUAUUUCCCUGGAGCCAGUAACCUUGACCUCCUCAGGAAUGGUCAUCCUCAAGACUGUAGGCAGGUCAAUUUGCUUCAGGCAGAAAAAAAUUAUAAUUCACUAUUCUGUGCAAAACUAGAAAAAAAAAUAUUGGACUUUGAAGCUGUAGAUCACAUGAUCUUCUCAUCAUCCAUUUUACUUUUUAAAGUACACUUUGGACAUUUCACAGGUACAUAAACCAAGCUCAGAAGUCUCUUUGUCACAGUUUUCUUAGUACAAAUGCCACAUGUUUGCCAAAAAAAGGAAAUGGAAUGGAAAACUAGUGUGGUACACACCUGGCCCAGGGCAGCUACUUCUAACUUAAUUUUGAAAGCAUUUCAUUAUAACAUCAGCUAGUUGGGGGCACAUUCUUGAUGCACUUAAACCUUCUAUCUACUCCUGUUUCAUCAAAAUAUCCUUAAGUGGUGGAGGUCAUUUACUAGGAUCAUUUCCAGGAAGGAGAAACAGGGCAUGUCACUUAUUCCCUCAGUUUCUGAAAAUAUCACCAUCUGUUGAGUUUAGCUUUGGAGUCCACAGGAAAAUAUAUGCCACUGUGAACUUGGUGCCUUUUCUGUAAAGGAAGCUAAAAAGAGAAAGCAUGGGGCUAACAGAAGAACAGCAGCUAAACCACAUGGAAAGACAGGGUAUUCAUUUAGGCAGCCACCAUUUGCUGAACAUCUACUUUGUGCAUGGCACUCGGCUAGACUUUGAAAGAAAUAGAAUACAGUCUGCUUUCCAGAUGUUACAGACCAAUAGAAGACAGUCUUGGGACGUGGGGGGGAGAUGCAGGUGAGAAUUUCUGUAGUGGGAGAUGGUCUGUGGCACUCAGCAGAGAGACCACCUAACACUAAAAAUAGGAAAGAGGCUGCCAAUCAUUGAGAGCCUGCCACUGACUAGAUGUGUCAUCUUGAGCCAGUGACUUAGCUAUUCUGAGCCUCAGUUUCCUCAACUGACAACUGGGAUAACAAUACAGUAUCUGCUUGUUGAACUUGUUUUUAAAAUCAGGACAAGGGCAUGAAAUUCCAUUUAAACAGGAGAAAUAAAUACUGAAGAUCUAUUGGACAGCACUGGAGUUAACAGUAGUGUUCAGUGUAAUGGAAAUUUGAAGAGCACGGAGUUUAAUGUUCUUAUCACACACGAAGGUUUAAGUCUGUGAGGUGAUGGAUAUGUUUGUUAGUUUGGUUCAGUCAUUCCAUAAUGUAUAUGUAUAUCAACAUAUCACAUUGUACCCCAUAAUUACGUACAAUUAAAACAAAUAAAUCAAGUCAGGAUGAUGUAGCUGAGGCAUCUAGCACAGAGCCUGACUCUCAAGGACAGCCAUGGGGAUGAGUGACAUUAUCCAUCACAAGCCCCAAAUGUUGCCUGGGGCUCAUGGACAUUCGAACUCUAGAAAUGACCUUGAUUAGUCCUUGUUUACAGAUGAGGACCACUAAGGUUUGUAUCUUAAAUGUCUUGCAAAAGGCCCAUGUGCCGAUGGCUUAGUCCCUGGCUUGCAGCUGUUGAGAGAUGGUGGAGCUAGUGAGAGGGCUUAGGUCAUCAGCACAUGUCCUUGAAGGGGACUAUGGGACUCCAGCCCUUCCUCUUCCUCUCUGUUUCCUGGGUGCCACAAAGUGACCAGCUCUGCCCCACCAUGGUUUCCCACCAGGACAUGCUGCCUGAGCCCAGGCCCAAAAGCAUCAGGGCCGAUCAUGCACACAUUGAAACCUCUGAAGCCAUGCACCAAAGCAAACCUUUUCUCUUUUUAAGUUGGUUGUCUCAACUAUUUUGUUACAGAAAUAGAAAGCUGACUCACACAAGGACACUGAGACUCAAAACAUGCACUCAGUGCCACGUGGGUAGUAAAUCUCUUGGGUAAACAGCCCAGUGUUCUUUGCAUGGCACAGAUGUUUUCUCCUCAGCUGCUGUAGAAACCCAGGUUUCCACAGAGUCCUCAGUGGUCCCCCCACAACAAGGGGGCAAGAGGCAGAGGGGCCAAG
This 2075-nucleotide long non-coding RNA is filed under the name Marmota monax (woodchuck). The record is from RNAcentral. Lineage: Eukaryota; Metazoa; Chordata; Mammalia; Rodentia; Sciuridae.